GGUUAAGCGACUAAGCGUACACGGUGGAUGCCCUGGCAGUCAGAGGCGAUGAAGGACGUGCUAAUCUGCGAAAAGCGUCGGUAAGGUGAUAUGAACCGUUACAGCCGGCGAUGUCCGAAUGGGGAAACCCAGUGCAAUUCGUUGCACUAUCGUUAACUGAAUACAUAGGUUAACGAGGCGAACCGGGGGAACUGAAACAUCUAAGUACCCCGAGGAAAAGAAAUCAACCGAGAUUCCCCCAGUAGCGGCGAGCGAACGGGGAG
RNAcentral lists this ribosomal RNA (263 nucleotides) under Klebsiella variicola. RNAcentral describes it as "partial 23S ribosomal RNA". It matches the Rfam family "Bacterial large subunit ribosomal RNA", at positions 1 to 264 of the family's 2925-position model. Lineage: Bacteria; Pseudomonadati; Pseudomonadota; Gammaproteobacteria; Enterobacterales; Enterobacteriaceae. RNAcentral also lists the same sequence under 1 other name. The record is from RNAcentral.